RNAcentral lists this ribosomal RNA (427 nucleotides) under uncultured bacterium. Its description in RNAcentral is "bacterial SSU rRNA". It matches the Rfam family "Bacterial small subunit ribosomal RNA", at positions 355 to 774 of the family's 1533-position model. The record is from RNAcentral.
UGGGGAAUUUUGGACAAUGGGCGCAAGCCUGAUCCAGCCAUGCCGCGUGCAGGAUGAAGGCCUUCGGGUUGUAAACUGCUUUUGUACGGAACGAAAAGGUGCCUUCUAAUAAAGGGCGCUCAUGACGGUACCGUAAGAAUAAGCACCGGCUAACUACGUGCCAGCAGCCGCGGUAAUACGUAGGGUGCGAGCGUUAAUCGGAAUUACUGGGCGUAAAGCGUGCGCAGGCGGUUUUGUAAGACAGAUGUGAAAUCCCCGGGCUUAACCUGGGAACUGCGUUUGUGACUGCAAGGCUGGAGUACGGCAGAGGGCUGUGGAAUUCCACGUGUCGCAGUGAAAUGCGUAGAGAUGUGGAGGAACACCGAUGGCGAAGGCAGCCCCCUGGGCCUGUACUGACGCUCAUGCACGAAAGCGUGGGGAGCAAACA